UACAGAGGGGGCAAGCGUUAUUCGGAAUUAUUGGGCGUAAAGGGCGCGUAGGCGGCUUUGCAAGUGGCGGGUGAAAUCCCUCGGCUUAACCGAGGAACUGCCUGUCAAACUGCAUGGCUUGAGACCGGGAGAGGUGAGUGGAAUUCCCAGUGUAACGGUGAAAUGCGUAGAUAUUGGGAGGAACACCAGUGGCGAAGGCGGCUCACUGGACCGGUACUGACGCUGAUGCGCGAAAGCGUGGGGAGCAAACAGG
This 253-nucleotide ribosomal RNA is filed under the name uncultured bacterium. RNAcentral's name for it is "partial 16S ribosomal RNA". It matches the Rfam family "Bacterial small subunit ribosomal RNA", at positions 524 to 776 of the family's 1533-position model. The record is from RNAcentral.